UACGUAGGGGGCUAGCGUUGUCCGGAAUCAUUGGGCGUAAAGCGCGUGUAGGCGGUCCGGUAAGUCCGCUGUGAAAGUCGGGGGCUCAACCCUCGAAUGCCGGUGGAUACUGUCGGGCUAGAGUGCGGAAGAGGCGAGUGGAAUUCCCGGUGUAGCGGUGAAAUGCGCAGAUAUCGGGAGGAACACCAAUGGCGAAGGCAGCUCGCUGGGACGGUACUGACGCUGAGGCGCGAAAGCGUGGGGAGCAAACAGG
RNAcentral lists this ribosomal RNA (253 nucleotides) under uncultured bacterium. Its description in RNAcentral is "partial 16S ribosomal RNA". It matches the Rfam family "Bacterial small subunit ribosomal RNA", at positions 524 to 776 of the family's 1533-position model. The record is from RNAcentral.